UACAGAGGGCUCAAGCGUUGUUCGGAUGCAUUGGGCGUAAAGGGUGUGUAGGUGGCGCCGUAAGUCGGGGGUGAAAUUUCGGAGCUUAACUCCGAAACUGCAUUCGAUACUGCGGUGCUUGAGGACUGGAGAGGAGACUGGAAUUCAUGGUGUAGCAGUGAAAUGCGUAGAGAUCAUGAGGAAGACCAGUGGCGAAGGCGGGUCUCUGGACAGUUCCUGACACUGAGACACGAAGGCCAGGGGAGCAAACGGG
RNAcentral lists this ribosomal RNA (253 nucleotides) under uncultured bacterium. RNAcentral describes it as "partial 16S ribosomal RNA". It matches the Rfam family "Bacterial small subunit ribosomal RNA", at positions 524 to 776 of the family's 1533-position model. The record is from RNAcentral.